GAUGAACGCUAGCGGCAGGCUUAAUACAUGCAAGUCGAGGGCAGCAGGUCUGUAGCAAUACAGAUGCUGGCGACCGGCAAACGGGUGCGGAACACGUACAGAACCUUCCUUCGAGCGGGGAAGUAGCCCAGAGAAAUUUGGAUUAAUACCCACUAGUAUAUUGGAGUGGCGAUCACUUUGUAGUAUUAAAGUAAUUAUUCACUUGUAAGAAUG
This 213-nucleotide ribosomal RNA is filed under the name uncultured bacterium. Its description in RNAcentral is "partial 16S ribosomal RNA". It matches the Rfam family "Bacterial small subunit ribosomal RNA", at positions 28 to 228 of the family's 1533-position model. The record is from RNAcentral.